This 35-nucleotide ribosomal RNA is filed under the name uncultured Rickettsia sp. RNAcentral's name for it is "partial 23S ribosomal RNA". Lineage: Bacteria; Pseudomonadati; Pseudomonadota; Alphaproteobacteria; Rickettsiales; Rickettsiaceae. The record is from RNAcentral.
GUCAAGUACACUUAGUACGUGAGGAUUUGAGUACC